Molecule: ribosomal RNA, 253 nt
Filed under: uncultured bacterium
Lineage: Bacteria
Also listed under: 1 other name
Description: partial 16S ribosomal RNA
Rfam family: Bacterial small subunit ribosomal RNA
Source: RNAcentral
UACGAAGGGGGCUAGCGUUGCUCGGAAUUACUGGGCGUAAAGCGCACGUAGGCGGCUUUCUAAGUCGGGGGUGAAAUCCUGGAGCUCAACUCCAGAACUGCCUUCGAUACUGGAAAGCUCGAGUCCGGGAGAGGUGAGUGGAACUGCGAGUGUAGAGGUGAAAUUCGUAGAUAUUCGGAAGAACACCAGUGGCGAAGGCGACUUACUGGACAACUGUUGACGCUGAGGUGCGAAAGCGUGGGGAGCAAACAGG